GAUGAACGCUGGCGGCGUGCCUAAUACAUGCAAGUCGAACGAAGGAUGUAGCAAUAUGUCCUUAGUGGCGAACGGGUGAGUAACGCGUUGGUGACCUGCCCCGAAGAGAGGGAUAACAGUCCGAAAGGAUUGCUAAUACCUCAUGUGAUCACUGGGAUUAGAAGCCCUAUGAUUAAAGAUGCAAAUCACUUCGGGAGGGACCUGCGUCCCAUCAGCUAGUUGGUGAGGUAAUGGCCCACCAAGGCGAUGACGGGUAGGGGACCUGAGAGGGUGACCCCCCACAAUGGAACUGAAACACGGUCCAUACACCUACGGGUGGCUG
Molecule: ribosomal RNA, 322 nt
Filed under: uncultured Chloroflexota bacterium
Lineage: Bacteria; Bacillati; Chloroflexota
Description: bacterial SSU rRNA
Rfam family: Bacterial small subunit ribosomal RNA
Source: RNAcentral